GUGAGGAAUAUUGGGCAAUGCCCGCAAGGGUGACCCAGCAACGCCGCGUGGAGGAUGAAUGUCGUAAGAUUGUAAACUCCUGUUAGAGGGGAAGAAUAGCACCGGUUGGACCGGUAUAUGACUGUACCCUCAGAGAAAGCCCCGGCUAACUACGUGCCAGCAGCCGCGGUAAUACGUAGGGGGCAAGCGUUGUCCGGAUUUACUGGGUGUAAAGGGCGCGCAGGCGGGAUAAAAAGUCAGUGGUGAAAUCCUACAGCUUAACUGUAGAACUGCCUUUGAUACUUUUAUUCUUGAGUUCGGGAGAGAGAGACGGAAUUCCAGGUGUAGUGGUGAAAUACGUAGAUAUCUGGAAGAACACCAGUUGCGAAGGCGGUCUCUUGGUCCGACACUGACGCUGAGGCGCGAAAGCGUGGGGAGCAAACA
Molecule: ribosomal RNA, 423 nt
Filed under: uncultured bacterium
Lineage: Bacteria
Description: bacterial SSU rRNA
Rfam family: Bacterial small subunit ribosomal RNA
Source: RNAcentral